CUUCUUCGCAUCCUCGCGACUAAUGACAACCGACACCCCCAUGGGUGAAGCCUCUCAUUAGCCGCGCGAACCUCUGCAAUGAAGAUCAUUUAUAGCAACAAUACAAUAGUUUCCAUUGAAUUGCUGCCGUCUGGUUGAAAAAAGGGGCCAUCAAGGGCCCCCCUU
This is a non-coding RNA of Microbacterium sp., 165 nucleotides long. The record is from Rfam. NCBI's taxonomy places the organism in Bacteria, Bacillati, Actinomycetota, Actinomycetes, Micrococcales, Microbacteriaceae.